Molecule: long non-coding RNA, 1501 nt
Organism: Daphnia magna
Lineage: Eukaryota; Metazoa; Arthropoda; Branchiopoda; Diplostraca; Daphniidae
Exons: 4
Source: RefSeq, a predicted model, not a curated record
ACCCUGUUGAGGAAAGUGAAACAGACCUUCUGCCUUACAAUGGAAAUGAACUCGAACAACAUUCUUCUACAUCUGCAUAUGAUACGAUGUCUACAGCUGACAGCUGUGCCAGCACAGUAUUGUUGUCCUGUUUGGCAAGCCAACCAGAGCUUGAGCCUCAAAGUGAAAUUGAUCAUCAUCUUUCCACCUCUUUCAAUUAUACCAUGUACUAUCAGAACAGCUGUACCAACACUCUAUUAAGUUCCUGUUUGGAACAGAUGGAAAUGGCUGCUAGUAUUCACAUCGAGGCUCUACAAGGAGAAAGAGUUACCGAACAGCAGCCAUCUUAAAAAAAAAAAGGAUGAAGCAGCAGAAGGAGAGAAGGCUGAAAAUUUGUGGAAAGAAAAAUAAGAGGAUGUCUACAAGGCUUUCGUAACAUCACAUGCUUCAUCUGCUCAUGGGAGGAUGUGUUCUUCAGAUGGAUGUCUUAAUUCCCUUUUUGACCAUCAUAUUCGCUGUGAUGAUUGUAAACGUCACUUCUGCCAUAGCUGCGAUAAAUCCAUUCAUUUUCGGUUACCGUUCCAUAAACGAAUAUGGCUUAAUACGGAAAGCUCUAAGGUAUUGGACCACACACAAUUUAUUAAGGAAAACGGAUCAGUUUCCAAGCAAGAGGUUCCAGUACCAGUAUUUAUUCCUUCAGCUUUCCAAAAGUGUCAAUCGUCUUCUCUUUCAAUUGCUGCUGGAAACGACUUUUGUAUCGUCAUUACUGCGAAUGGAAGGUUUGAUCUAAGUACAGCUUUGUUUCGCUGCAAUUCAUGCGAAUGUACUUUCGAUGCCACACUUGAUGAUUGCAUUCUAUCCGGUUUUUGGCCACCCGUGCCUAACAAGUUCACUUUUCUAUGUUGCAGUCAACUGCUAACUCUGUGGCAUCAUCUAAAAUGGCUUACCCCAGGAACUUCUGAACAAAAGUUCUUGGAAACGAUUUCAGCUAUGUUAGUAGAGGGAUCGAGAGUGAGUAUUAAAAAGUUAACCCUUUAAAGUAAUUCAGUCGUCAUGUUCACAUUUUUCAAUUACUUUUAGUGUCUCUCAAUUAAAACUCCUAUGUUAGCAAGAGCUGGCCAGGCUCAUGAGUUUACACGACACUUAACUGAUUCACGAAUAAAGCAGGUGGAUACGCUUUCAUGUCGUGCCUGUAUUGAUGAAAAAACCGGGAAUCCUUCCCUCCUCUCCGGCCAUCCUGAUGCAAAUCAUAAACUAACAAGGACUGAUCGUAAAAAUGAACGCCCAGCUAGGUCUUGGUAUGGUAGUGAGGUUAUUGCUGGGAAUGAACUUAAUAUUUCGAAAUCCGGAAGACUAAUAUUCUUGGAAGUUAACAUUUUAUCGGAGGAAAUCUUGAGAUUAAAAGCUGUUUAUGACGAAGCAUGGUCAUACCUCCGAUACUUCUGCGAAACCCCCAUUUUCUCUGAAUCUUUGAUUGAUGUUCAUGAAAGUGAUGACUACGACUCCGACACUUAUAGUGAAA